UGAAGGUUUGCACAAGUGACAAGUCCUCUUCAGGAUCUUAGACCAAGCCAACUACUCUGGGAUCCUAGUAACCGGUGAUGUAAAGAGUGUCUCACUUGAGUAACUGCCAAGGAGGUGGGGGCUGAGAACGUCUUCAAGGUUGCUGUCAUUUGGAAUUUUAUGUCCUUCAUUUUCUUUCACUCUGUAUGCCUGUCACAUCGGCUUAACUGAUCAAUUGAAUUGUGAAUUGUGAAGAAAUGACAAAACAACACUGGGCCACAUUAUCACGA
Molecule: long non-coding RNA, 269 nt
Organism: Alligator sinensis (Chinese alligator)
Lineage: Eukaryota; Metazoa; Chordata; Crocodylia; Alligatoridae
Exons: 3
Source: RefSeq, a predicted model, not a curated record